GAAUCCUUCCGUCCCAG
RNAcentral lists this transfer RNA (17 nucleotides) under Cyclopia burtonii. RNAcentral describes it as "partial tRNA-Gln". Lineage: Eukaryota; Viridiplantae; Streptophyta; Magnoliopsida; Fabales; Fabaceae. The record is from RNAcentral. RNAcentral also lists the same sequence under 9 other names.